RNAcentral lists this ribosomal RNA (477 nucleotides) under uncultured bacterium. RNAcentral describes it as "partial 16S ribosomal RNA". It matches the Rfam family "Bacterial small subunit ribosomal RNA", at positions 28 to 507 of the family's 1533-position model. The record is from RNAcentral.
GAUUAACGCUGGCGGCGUGCAUAACACAUGCAAGUCGAACGAUGAAACUUUAAUGAACCCUUCGGGGAGAAUGAAAGCGGAUUAGUGGCGAACGGGGGAGGAACGCGGUAGUAACCUGCCGUACACAAGGGGAUAGCCUUUGGAAACGAAGAAUAAUAUCCUAUAAAACCAUAAAAGCACAGGCAAUUAUGGUCAAAGUGAUAGCGGUGGAAGAUGGACUUGCGUCUGAUUAGCUAGUUGGUGGGAUAAAAUCCCACCAAGGCAACGAUCAGUAGCCGGCUUGAGAGAGUGUACGGCCACACUGGGACUGAGACACGGCGCAGACUCCUACGGGAGGCAGCAGUGGGGAAUUUUGAACAAUGGGGGAAACACUGAUGCAGCGACGCCGCGUGAUUUAGAAGGCCUUCGGGUUGUAAAAAUCUUUUGUAUGGGAAGAAAAUGACAGUACUAUACGAAUAAGCUCCGGCUAAUUACGUG